Molecule: ribosomal RNA, 497 nt
Filed under: uncultured bacterium
Lineage: Bacteria
Description: partial 16S ribosomal RNA
Rfam family: Bacterial small subunit ribosomal RNA
Source: RNAcentral
GAUGAACGCUGGCGGCGUGCCUAAUACAUGCAAGUCGAGCGAACAGAUGAGGAGCUUGCUCCUCUGACGUUAGCGGCGGACGGGUGAGUAACACGUGGAUAACCUACCUAUAAGACUGGGAUAACUUCGGGAAACCGGAGCUAAUACCGGAUAAUAUAUUGAACCGCAUGGUUCAAUAGUGAAAGACGGUUUUGCUGUCACUUAUAGCUGGAUCCGCGCCGCAUUAGCUAGUUGGUAAGGUAACGGCUUACCAAGGCAACGAUGCGUAGCCGACCUGAGAGGGUGAUCGGCCACACUGGAACUGAGACACGGUCCAGACUCCUACGGGAGGCAGCAGUAGGGAAUAUUCCGCAAUGGGCGAAAGCCUGACGGAGCAACGCCGCGUGAGUGAUGAAGGUCUUCGGAUCGUAAAACUCUGUUAUUAGGGAAGAACAAAUGUGUAAGUAACUAUGCACGUCUUGACGGUACCUAAUCAGAAAGCCACGGCUAACUACGUG